UGCGUAGGCGGUUCAUUAAGUCAGUGGUGAAAUACGGCAGCUCAACUGUCGAGGUGCCAUUGAUACUGGUGAACUUGAGUACUGAUGAGGUAGGCGGAAUGGACGGUGUAGCGGUGAAAUGCUUAGAGAUCGUCCAGAACACCGAUAGCGAAGGCAGCUUACUAAGGAGUAACUGACGCUGAGGCACGAAAGUGUGGGGAUCAAACAGGAUUAGAUACCCUGGUAGUCCACACUGUAAACGAUGAUUACUCGAUGUUGGCGAUACACAGCCAGCGUCUUAGCAAAAGCGAUAAGUAAUCCACCUGGGGAGUACGCCGGCAACGGUGAA
This 328-nucleotide ribosomal RNA is filed under the name uncultured Sphingobacteriales bacterium. RNAcentral's name for it is "bacterial SSU rRNA". It matches the Rfam family "Bacterial small subunit ribosomal RNA", at positions 568 to 898 of the family's 1533-position model. The record is from RNAcentral. Lineage: Bacteria; Pseudomonadati; Bacteroidota; Sphingobacteriia; Sphingobacteriales.